Non-coding RNA from Pelobates cultripes (western spadefoot toad), 70 nucleotides. NCBI's taxonomy places the organism in Eukaryota, Metazoa, Chordata, Amphibia, Anura, Pelobatidae. The record is from the annotation of a GenBank genome assembly.
UAUCUGUGAUGAAUAACAUAGACAAGCAUAUGUCUGAAUGUUUGUGAUGCCAAUUUUAAUUCUGAGACUG